RNA transcript from Drosophila suzukii, 1572 nucleotides. It is a transcript of the gene named Electron transfer flavoprotein beta subunit, with no coding region annotated. The record is from RefSeq and is a predicted model, not a curated record. Lineage: Eukaryota; Metazoa; Arthropoda; Insecta; Diptera; Drosophilidae.
ACGCUGUCGGCACACAAGACCUUUGGACCACCCGCGUCCCCGCCGCCCACAAAUCAGUUCAUUUCCAUCUUGAAAAAGAAAAUGGCGCGUGUUUUGGUUGGAGUUAAGCGUGUGAUCGACUACGCCGUCAAGGUGCGCGUCAAGCCCGACAAGACGGGCGUGGUCACCCAGGGCGUGAAGCACUCAAUGAAUCCCUUCGACGAGAUCGCCGUUGAGGAGGCAGUGAAGCUGAAGGAGAAGAAGCUUGCCGAGGAGGUCAUCGCUGUCUCCGUGGGUCCUGCCCAGUCCCAGGAGGUUAUCCGCACCGCCCUGGCCAUGGGCGCCGAUCGUGGCAUACAUGUAGAUAUCCCAGCCGCCGAGUACGAGCUUCUGCAGCCCAUCCACGUGUCCAAGAUCCUGGCCAAACUGGCGCUGGACGAGAAGGCCGACCUGGUGAUCCUGGGCAAACAGGCCAUCGACGAUGAUGCCAACCAGACGGCCCAGAUGACCGCCGCUGUCCUGGACUGGCCACAGGGCACCUUCUGCAACAAGAUCGAGAAGACAGAUGCCGGUCUGACCAUCACCCGUGAGAUUGACGGCGGUCUGGAGACGAUCAAGACCAAGACACCCGCUGUCCUGAGUGCCGAUCUCCGGCUUAACACUCCUCGCUACGCAACGCUGCCAAACAUCAUGAAGGCCAAGAAGAAGCCUUUGAAGAAGGUCACGGCCAAGGAUCUUGGCGUGGACACCACUCCCCGCAUCGAGGUCAUCUCCGUGGAGGAUCCUCCAGUGCGCCAGGCUGGAGCCACUGUCGCCGAUGUGGAUGCCUUGGUGGCCAAGCUGAAGGAGGGCGGCCACAUCUAGAUCCUCCUCAACUAGCAAAUUGUGAGCGCAAAUUCUACGUUUUUAAUUAGUUGAAGUUAUCUAUCAGAAACGUGCAUUUAUCCCAGCCUCCGAUCGUCGGAUCUGCUGACAGGCUUUAAAAUUCUACCCAUCCCCCGUGUGCUUUAAGUGAAAUCUAAAUUGGAAUUUAUUUUCGUUGUGUCCAGCUGUAAGAAUAAAGUGAUUGAAAUCCCGAUCCCGCUCAACUUGAUGCCCAAAAAAAAUGCGACGAGGUCAACACCCAAUGGUCAUUGAUUUUUCAUUGUUUUCGAUCGUAUUUAUUAGCGGUAAACUUGAAAGGAAACAUUUGCUAAUAUGUAUUAUAUAAGAGUACAAAUGGUAUAAAGAGAUAGUAUAUGUUUGUUCAUAAAAUUCUCAACUACAGGCUAAAAUCGUUUGCUUUUUGUUUUGGACGAUCAUGACACACAUGCUUAUAAUAUAAAGAUAUUUAUGUGUAUAAACAUUCAAAAAAAGAGAGUAAAUGGUCUAAGAUAUAGAAAAGGGUGGGUCGACUUUCCUGAUAGAGAACUAAAGGGACGAAAAUAUUGUAUAGAAUCAAAUUGGAAUUUUGAAUUUUGAGAUCAAAUUAGUCAAGUAAAAAUUGUAAAAUUGAUGGCCAAAAAAACCCUUAGAUUACUUAGUUAUAUUAAUCUACCCACCCUAAUAUACAGACGGGCAAAUGCGACAAUAAUAAAUGCCAAUUGAAAGAUA